ACAGAGACCUCAAACGUUGUCCGGAGUUACUGGGCGUAAAGGGCGUGCAGGCGGUUGGCUAAGUUCGUUGUGAAAGCGCCCAGGCUUAACCGGGCGAGGACAAUGAAGACUGGUCAGCUAGAGGACGGUAGAGGGGUGUGGAAUUCCGCGUGUAGCAGUGAAAUGCGUAGAGAUGCAGAGGAACACCGAUGGCGAAGGCAGCCUCCUGGGAUGACACUGACGCUCAUGCACGAAAGCGUGGGGAGCAAACAG
RNAcentral lists this ribosomal RNA (252 nucleotides) under uncultured prokaryote. Its description in RNAcentral is "partial 16S ribosomal RNA". It matches the Rfam family "Bacterial small subunit ribosomal RNA", at positions 525 to 775 of the family's 1533-position model. The record is from RNAcentral.